Ichthyophthirius multifiliis is the source of this 284-nucleotide non-coding RNA. The record is from Rfam. Lineage: Eukaryota; Ciliophora; Oligohymenophorea; Hymenostomatida.
UGCUAGGGCAGCAAUGCCUAUAACAUUUGUAGCAUAAACAGUGUAGGUUGGUAUUAAUAGGGUAUGAGAGUUCGAUGAGACAGUUUGCUAAGAGUGUGCCCACUCUAAACAAUGAGUAACUAUGGUAACCAAAUAGCAAUAUUGGUUGGCAGGGUUUUAAAGAGUUGCGAUGCCUCAGGCUGGAAACAGAACAGGGAAACAGCGCCGCUUAUUGUGGUGGAGGGAUUACAUACUCAUUAACUGUCGAGCUUAUCGCUCUAUUAUAUCGAUCUGACACUGCUUUC